Long non-coding RNA from Melanotaenia boesemani (Boeseman's rainbowfish), 1591 nucleotides. RefSeq lists it as uncharacterized. The transcript is spliced from 6 exons. The record is from RefSeq and is a predicted model, not a curated record. Lineage: Eukaryota; Metazoa; Chordata; Actinopteri; Atheriniformes; Melanotaeniidae.
AUAAGACGCAAUAAAAAGCACAGAACCAGCCUUAGCACCAGUCGAAACAGGCAUCAAGAAAGCCGUGCACGUGCAGCAGAUGAGACUUUGUGGAAAAAUGAGUGGAGCAGUGAGACGUGGUUCUCCAGUGGAAGUCAUGGAUCAGCAGGAGCAGCCAUCUUAAAAGCUCCAUUUAAAGGGAUCAGCAUGAAUAAAGCCUUUCAUGAAGCGGAGCAUGGCUGAAUUUCUCCCGUGUGUAACACAUGGAGUUCAAAGCUUCACACACCUGGAAACAGCAGCAGGGUUAUGUCACUGCUGCAGGUUUGUGAUGAAGUGGAGCGAAAACAUCCAGCUUUGGGAAAGAAGUGACAAAGAUUUGACUGCGUCUGCAAAAAGUGCUUCACCUGCCUCCAGAGAAAUCUCUGCCAUACCAGCUGUACCUGGAGGCCAGAGAGGAGGCUCUCGUUGAAGAGUUACCAGGAGUUAACAGGUAUUGACUCUUUAUAUUUCUCCCAUACGUCUAUAAGGAGAACAUGAACCUUUUUAUCCCUCUUGGAGACUCUGAUGCAGACAUGUGGUGUUUAACUGAACCAAACACACACAACAAACGUGACCUUCCAUCUCCACACACAACUAUUCUCCUGACUGGUCAAGACUGGAAAAUGGCCUUCUUCACCAAAAGAGCUCCAAACGUUGUGAAAGCAGACGAUGUUGAGGAAGGGAUCAUCUCUGCCUUCUGCACUGACUUUGUCUUCAAGCUGGCAAACCCGAGACACCUGAAGACACACUGACGUUCCUCCAGAGGUGCAUGGUGGUGACCAACCUCUGCCAAGAACUGUUAACAGGACCAUAAAUCUUCUUUAUUCACUCCAUUAUGCCGCAUACCUAGCAGUGCUUCUAAUGCUCCAGGAGAGAAUCUACCUUAAAUGAAUUCAGCACAAAGGACUUUAUAGAAUUUAUUAUUAUUGUUUUAUGGUAUAAAGUUAGAGGAAGAAAAACUGUAGAACAGAUGAUGAUGUUUGUUGUGAUUUCAUCUUUCAUUCUGUUGCAUGUUUGUGUGUGAAUGACGCCUAACAAAGCUUCUUUAUUUUCAUCACUGGCUGAAAUAAAUUAAACUAAUGACAAUAAAACCACCAAUAGAUGGAGGCCUGAGAAACGUAGGAAAGACCAGAACUGUUAGUUCCACAUGUGUCUGAUCAUCCAGUGUGUAACAGCAACGAGCAACGCAAAGCAACAUGUUUAGUUUUUUCUAGAAGUUUCUUUGUAACAUGCUCCAUCAUACAAGUACAACAUGCAUGUAAGCUGAGCCCCGUCCAGACUGUGAAGUAUAAGUGUAAGAAUAGUAGAACACACACACUUUCUGCUGCUGUUUUCAUGGUUUUCAGUGUGUCUUUCUGCAGGUGCUCCUGAUGAUUGUCUGCUGUGUUUUCAUAUAGAGGCCGUAGGAUGUUUUCUGUUUUUCUACCGGUGUUGCAGCUGCUUGUUCUAUUGUUUCUGUUGUUUCUAUCUUUGUCCUCUCUCCACUUUUUACUCUCCUUUUCUCUUCUGUUUAAUUCAAUCCAGCUUUAUUUGUACAGCAGCUCUUUACAACAAAGUCCUCUCAGGGCUCCUU